Molecule: ribosomal RNA, 524 nt
Filed under: uncultured bacterium
Lineage: Bacteria
Description: partial 16S ribosomal RNA
Rfam family: Bacterial small subunit ribosomal RNA
Source: RNAcentral
GACGAACGCUGGCGGCGUGCCUAAUACAUGCAAGUCGAGCGCAGGAAAUCGACGGAACCCUUCGGGGGGAAGUCGACGGAAUGAGCGGCGGACGGGUGAGUAACACGUAAAGAACCUGCCCUCAGGUCUGGGAUAACCACGAGAAAUCGGGGCUAAUACCGGAUGGGUCAUCGGACCGCAUGGUCCGAGGAUGAAAGGCGCUUCGGCGUCGCCUGGGGAUGGCUUUGCGGUGCAUUAGCUAGUUGGUGGGGUAAUGGCCCACCAAGGCGACGAGGCAUAGCCGACCUGAGAGGGUGAUCGGCCACACGGGGACUGAGACACGGCCCAGACUCCUACGGGAGGCAGCAGUAGGGAAUCUUCCACAAUGGACGAAAGUCUGAUGGAGCAACGCCGCGUGAACGAUGAAGGCCUUCGGGUCGUAAAGUUCUGUUGCAAGGGAAGAACAAGUGCCGCAGGCAAUGGCGGCACCUUGACGGUACCUUGCGAGAAAGCCACGGCUAACUACGUGCCAGCAGCCGCCGUAA